UAACCUGCCCAAGAGAUCGGGAUAACACCUGGAAAUAGAUGCUAAUACCGGAUAACAACAGAUGAUGCCUAUCAAUUGUUUAAAAGAUGGUUCUGCUAUCACUCUUGGAUGGACCUGCGGUGCAUUAGCUAGUUGGUAGGGUAACGGCCUACCAAGGCGAUGAUGCAUAGCCGAGUUGAGAGACUGAUCGGCCACAUUGGGACUGAGACACGGCCCAAACUCCUACGGGAGGCAGCAGCU
This 240-nucleotide ribosomal RNA is filed under the name uncultured Lactobacillus sp. RNAcentral describes it as "partial 16S ribosomal RNA". It matches the Rfam family "Bacterial small subunit ribosomal RNA", at positions 122 to 355 of the family's 1533-position model. Lineage: Bacteria; Bacillati; Bacillota; Bacilli; Lactobacillales; Lactobacillaceae. The record is from RNAcentral.